UACGUAGGGGGCGAGCGUUGCCCGGAAUCAUUGGGCGUAAAGGGCGCGCAGGCGGCCUGAUUAGUCGUGGGUGAAAUCGUUCGGCUCAACCGAGCGGGGUCCUGCGAAACGGUCGGGCUGGAGCAAGGCAGGGGGUCGUGGAAUUCCCGGUGUAGCGGUGAAAUGCGCAGAUAUCAGGAGGAACACCAAUUGCGAAGGCAGCUCGCUGGGACGUUACUGACGCUGAGACGCGAAAGCGUGGGGAGCAAACAGG
Molecule: ribosomal RNA, 253 nt
Filed under: uncultured bacterium
Lineage: Bacteria
Description: partial 16S ribosomal RNA
Rfam family: Bacterial small subunit ribosomal RNA
Source: RNAcentral